Molecule: small nuclear RNA, 126 nt
Organism: Manis pentadactyla (Chinese pangolin)
Lineage: Eukaryota; Metazoa; Chordata; Mammalia; Pholidota; Manidae
Product: U4atac minor spliceosomal RNA
Exons: 1
Source: RefSeq, a predicted model, not a curated record
ACCAUCCUUUUCUUAGGGUUGCACUACUGUCCAAUGAGCGUUUAGCAAGUACAGUACUGCUAACACCUGAAAAACACACCUGCAUCAAAUAAAGCUCUGCUUUACUUUGGUGCAAUAAAUAAAUAA